UGGGGAAUUUUGACAAUGGGCGAAAGCCUGAUCCAGCAAUGCCGCGUGUGUGAAGAAGGCCUUCGGGUUGUAAAGCACUUUUGUCCGGAAAGAAAUCCUUGGCUCUAAUACAGUCGGGGGAUGACGGUACCGGAAGAAUAAGCACCGGCUAACUACGUGCCAGCAGCCGCGGUAAUACGUAGGGUGCAAGCGUUAAUCGGAAUUACUGGGCGUAAAGCGUGCGCAGGCGGUUUGCUAAGACCGAUGUGAAAUCCCCGGGCUCAACCUGGGAACUGCAUUGGUGACUGGCAGGCUAGAGUAUGGCAGGAGGGGGGUAGAAUUCCACGUGUAGCAGUGAAAUGCGUAGAGAUGUGGAGGAAUACCCGAUGGCGAAGGCAGCCCCCUGGGCCAAUACUGACGCUCAUGCACGAAAGCGUGGGGGAGCAAACAGGAUUAGAUACCCUGGUAGUCCACGCCCUAAAGCGAUGUCAACUAGUUGUUGGGGAUUCAUUUCCUUAGUAACGUAGCUAACGCGUGAAGUUGACC
This 525-nucleotide ribosomal RNA is filed under the name uncultured bacterium. RNAcentral's name for it is "partial 16S ribosomal RNA". It matches the Rfam family "Bacterial small subunit ribosomal RNA", at positions 355 to 870 of the family's 1533-position model. The record is from RNAcentral.